RNAcentral lists this ribosomal RNA (468 nucleotides) under uncultured bacterium. RNAcentral's name for it is "partial 16S ribosomal RNA". It matches the Rfam family "Bacterial small subunit ribosomal RNA", at positions 28 to 507 of the family's 1533-position model. The record is from RNAcentral.
GACGAACGCUGGCGGCGUGCUUAACACAUGCAAGUCGAACGGAAAGGCCCUGCCUUUGUGGGGUGCUCGAGUGGCGAACGGGUGAGUAACACGUGGGUAACCUGCCCUUUACUUUGGGAUAACUUCAGGAAACUGGGGCUAAUACCGGAUAGAAGCUCCUGCUGCAUGGUGGGGGUUGGAAAGUUUCGGCGGUCGGGGAUGGACUCGCGGCUUAUCGGCUCGUUGGUGGGGUAGUGGCUUACCAAGGCUUUGACGGGUAGACGGCCUGGGAGGGUGACCGGCCACCAGGGUCCUACGGUAGGCCCCAGACUGCUACGUGAGGCAACGGUGGGAAGUAUUGCACAGUGGGCCGGAGCGUGAUGCGACGGCGCCCGGUGCGGAAUGCCGUCCUUCGGGUUAAAAACCACUUUCGCCUGUAACGAAGCGUGAGUGACGGUAAUGAGUAAGAAAGCACCGGCUAACUACGUG